GCCGAGCCUCAGUGUCCCGAUCCGGGAAGUGGGCACGCAACGCUGGCCAGAGCCGCGGCCCCUCCGGACCCCAGUCACCUUCCCCGCCCCGGCCGGACACAACGGGACUGCUCUGCUGGAAGAUCCCACCCAGGGGCCCUCGGACAGGGCCGUGCAGUCUCCAUCGUGCCAAACGCACAGCCAUCGUUGUCUUUUUCUGCACCUUGCAGCGAUGAAAACGGCUAUGGUGAAAGACUUCCCUUCUGAGCCAGCGCUUUGUCUCGAGCACUCGUGAGUCCUCGCGCGUGGCCCACUUCAGCCCUGGGCACUCGCUCCGGAGAUGUGGAUGGAAAUCGCAUCUCCUCAGGUGCAGCCACUUCCCCAAGGCCAGGCGAGGGCUGGGCUGAAAGGCAGGCGUUGCCCCAGGGCUUUCUGUCUUUACUCACCUUUUUGUAGCUUUGCACCUAGCCCUGGUGCUCCUGCCUGGGCCGAUGUAACCAGGGUCCUCCUCUCCUGUCCCUGAAGCAGACUUCCCUCAAGUCCCGUCCCGUCCCCUGCUCCUGGCCCCAUAACCGGAAAAUCGAGACAGAAUGGUUUGGAAGCACGAAGGAUCCUGACGGCAGAUAAAGGACUCAGAGAAAACUGGCUGCCGACUUCUCGAGUGUGAGGUGAGACUCUCUUCGUGGAUUGGCCGGGGACCACGCACCCACCAGAAAGCCCCGAGUCUGGGGUCUCCUGGACGUCUGCAGACUUGCUCCACACGCAGCCGUGUUAGUUUCUUUCUGAAUCACUGGUGGACCCUUCGGAGCUCUGCACGUGGAUGUGUCUUUCCUGAGAACAGGACUUUAUCUUGCAUAACCACAGCAGGUUGCCAAACUCCUGAAUUCACGGCGAUAAGAUGCUGGUAUCUCGUCCAUCCGUGUUCCAGUUGUCAGCUGAUCGGAUAAAAUGUUGUGUAGUGUUUCUUCCCCUCCAUUUCAAGACCCAGUCCGGGGGUAGGACCAGGCCUGGCUUUCAGUUCUUUCAGACCGGUGGGUUUCAUGAACUUCUGUGAACUGGAGUGGAAUGGAUAUAAACAUCCUCAGGUGUUUUCCUGCUGGCAGUGGCCCCUAGAAUUCCUGGGGCACCUUCGUUCCCACAUUUCCUGGCUCUGCAAUAGGCCAGCACCCACCCCACACCGCUUUCUGAAGCAAGUUCAUGACCUUGCCACCCCUCCGUACACCCCAGUACUGAGGAUGGACCCACGGUGCUCUACCACUGAGCUGCAGCCUCAGCCCUUUCUUGUUUUUUUUACUUUGAGACAGGGUUUCCUUUUGCAAAGUUGCCCAGGCUGGCUUUGAACUUGGGAUCCUCCUGCCUCAGCCUCCCAAGUAGCUAGGAUUACAAGCACGCACCACCACACCUGCCUGAACUUCCCACUCCUCUUGUGGCUGUAGGAGCCAAAGUGGCCUCAGGAUGGUGAUUGUGGCCAAGCCCUGCCAUCCCCCAGGCACUCUUGAGGGUCCCCGGCCCAUGAGUCCCUCACAGGGUGGCAGCCCCUGCUAGCUGAUAGCCAAGCAGUGUACAAAUCACCCUGAGAGCCCAGCCUCCAGGGGCAGGCACCUCACCAGAGGGAACCAUGCAGGCUGGACUUGGACCUCGGGACAAGACACAGGAUUCUGUGAUAGCAAAGAAUCCAGCUAUCCGCCGUGAGCCGGAAGGCUCAUUCUGCUGAAAGUGGAGGAUCUGAGAGGCCCUCAUUUUUAAUUAGUGAUGAACUGAUUGACAUCUAUCUCCGCUGUUGACGGUAAGCUUGGUGACAUAACCACACUGCCUUCAGAGCGCCUUCUAGGGAAGGAAUCCCUGGCACAAGAGGGCACACACCGGAAUAAGUCAUUACUGCAAGUGGUGUCAUGCAAAUGAAUUGAUCAUUGGGGCCAGUGGACGCAGUAAUGGAACGAUCCUCUCUGAGCCCUGGACCCACUCAAACUUUUCCAGCAGCCUUGGCAGAGGGAAAGGGCAGGGUGAGCGGCUUCCAGGCUGCUGGGCUCUGCCAGCUGUGGCCUCAGUGCUGUUCAGAGGGGCUGUGCAGGUCACAAAGCCUGCCCCAAUUGUGCGUGGUCAUGUGAGCAUCCCUCACCCCUCCAGAGCUGGAACUAGCCAUGCUCACUAAGGAUGCCCAGCCAUGUGGGGCAGGGGGGCGCUGUCCCGGAGCACGAGGAGCCACCUGCACAUCCCUGCGCCCAGCUGGCUGUGUGCGGGAUGCUCUGGACCCUUGAGCCCUCUAAGCUCGAGACAGAUGUCCAGGGUACCCCCGAGUCUAGGACCCGGGUGGCAUUCAGAGAGGACUCGGGUGGCAGUGCCCCACAGACCUGAAGCAUCCAGCCUGGCAAGUAAGGCAAAGGGGCCUGAAGAAAGGGCCCAGGGAGGGCCAUGCACUUCAGACGAAGGCCAAGAGUGGCCUGGGCUCCUUGGGGAGCAGCUCAGGAGCAGCUCGGCUCAGUUGGAGGCUGAAGAUUCAUAAAGAUCGGGCAGGAGAGGGAGGAAGGAGCGUAGUUUUCAAGCUCAGGUAUUUAUACUUCACCUCAAGGUGCUGGGUGUGAGUGCGAGGUGAGGUUCCCGGCCAGUCCCGCCCUCCCUAUCGGCCCCUAACUCUCCUGGCUUUCCCAUCCCAGCAGCGAGCACUCUGUCCGGGACUCACUGGCCCAGGGAUGCCAGCUGCACAAGUAGGUCGGCAGGUGGCUGGAAAAUGAGCCAACCCAGAUGGCCGUACUCGGGACCCUGAAUUGAAGUCCUGGAGGGGUCUGUACAAAGGAGACAAGUGAGGCCCGGAGAGGUGGGCCAGUGUGAGCAGGUGUGGGAAGAGGAGGCCAGAUGGAUGCUGUCCGCCUCUUCUCCCUGGCCUGGCCUGGCCUGGCCUGGUUAGUGCCGCUGUCCUCUGGAAUUCCCAUGAAUGUCCACAUUCCUUGAGAUGCACCAGUGUUAGCUAUCAUUUUCCUUGAAUCAGAAUGCUUGACUCAUAGCUGGGACCAAAGUUUCUUUACAACCAAAACGGGCUCAACUAACGGUGCUUCCUCCAUUUGGUUUAUUAAAGCAUAAUUUGUUCUGGAAGGCGCACAGUUGUGUGAUGCGGAGCCCUGUUGGCCCCAGAAGGUUGCUUCCACCUGCUUUGGGUCGGUCACCUGCCUUCCCCAGUGCCAUGGACUGUUCUCAUCUGUGGAGCCACCCUGCCUUGGAGCCAGCCUACCAUGGACUGAGACCUCUACAUCUACACACUGAGCCAAAAUAAAGCUCUCCUCCCCUAAGUUGUGUCACAAUGAUGGGAAAGUGACUUGGACAGCGCCCAUGGCCACGAGAUGAUGUGACCUGUCUGCCACUGUCACUGCCUUCCUUCCUAAGGGAGCUGCAACAUCAUGGCAAUGAUCUGACCGCGGGCCCAGGACUCAGGCUGCCUGCAUUCAGGGGCAGCUUUGUGUUUCCAGCUCAUCAGCCCUGCAUUCAUCACUUCACUAACUUCUCUCCAUGCUUUGCCUCCUGCCUGGAACAGUGCUCGGUAAACAUUGGCUACAUGGACUCCUGGUUCUGUCUCCAGUCCUCAGUGCUCCUGUAUCAGCCACAGUACUGGUUCCGCUGGCCUGUUCUCAGUUGCCCAUACUCGGUGAGGUAGAAUGUAGGAAGCCUUAAUUAUGAAUUCGGAGACAAGCCCUGCCACCCUUGGAGGAGGACAUGGAAGGCAGCUAUGCUCACCACUAUACCACCAACGCGAGGAGGACAUGGGAUACGCAAUCUAUUUGCUUUACAUAAGGUGGAGAAGGAAAGAUGCCCACUUAACAUUUUUCUCCAAGGGCUGUGGUUCCCGUGUUGUCCCUUCCUUGGCUGUUCGGAGUUGAAUGCCUCCUCUCCACCACCUUUGCCCCGGGCCGCCAUUGUUCCUCUAAGCUUCUCUCCUUGCUUUGGUUUUAUGUAGAUUUUGUAUUGUAGUUGAUCUUUCAUGGGCAGAGAGCAAUGAAUUAAAGUCUCAUAUUUCUGAUGUGUUUCUGUUCGUUCUCCUAAUAGCUCCCAUGGUUGCUGCUUUAUGAAUUUUGAUGCUGUGUUAUUUGG
Heterocephalus glaber (naked mole-rat) is the source of this 4059-nucleotide long non-coding RNA. NCBI's taxonomy places the organism in Eukaryota, Metazoa, Chordata, Mammalia, Rodentia, Bathyergidae. The record is from Ensembl.